UCUCCAGGUUGGUUAUAUGUGGGUUCAUGCUUCCCAGAUGCCACUGGACUGUGUGUUCUCUUGUCCUUGGUCAGCUCCCUCUUCCAUCCCUCACAGGGACUGGUCUUGACACUCUCUGGGUUUUACUGAAUGUUACAUGUUUAUAUUGAAGAGAUUGCUGAUGUUAGACGUUAGGAUUAAUUUGGCAGUGCAAGAGUUUGUGUUUCUCUUUCUUUCAGGAUCUCUAUAUUGUUAUUAAUGGUGGUGUUGAGGAAACCACGGAGCUCCUGAAGCAGCGAUUUGACCACAUUUUCUAUACGGGAAACACUGCGGUUGGCAAAAUUGUCAUGGAAGCUGCUGCCAAGCAUCUGACCCCUGUGACUCUUGAACUGGGAGGGAAAAGUCCAUGUUAUAUUGAUAAAGAUUGUGACCUGGACAUUGUUUGCAGACGCAUAACCUGGGGAAAAUACAUGAAUUGUGGCCAAACCUGCAUUGCACCCGACUAUAUUCUCUGUGAAGCAUCCCUCCAAAAUCAAAUUGUAUGGAAGAUUAAGGAAACGGUGAAGGAAUUUUAUGGAGAAAAUAUAAAAGAGUCUCCUGAUUAUGAAAGGAUCAUCAAUCUUCGUCAUUUUAAGAGGAUACUAAGUUUGCUUGAAGGACAAAAGAUAGCUUUUGGUGGGGAGACUGAUGAGGCCACACGCUACAUAGCCCCAACAGUACUUACUGAUGUUGAUCCUAAAACCAAGGUGAUGCAAGAAGAAAUUUUUGGACCAAUUCUUCCAAUAGUGCCUGUGAAAAAUGUAGAUGAGGCCAUAAAUUUCAUAAAUGAACGUGAAAAGCCUCUGGCUCUCUAUGUAUUUUCGCAUAACCAUAAGCUCAUCAAACGGAUGAUUGAUGAGACAUCCAGUGGAGGUGUCACAGGCAAUGACGUCAUUAUGCACUUCAUGCUCAACUCUUUCCCCUUUGGAGGAGUGGGUUCCAGUGGGAUGGGAGCUUAUCACGGAAAACAUAGUUUUGAUACUUUUUCUCAUCAGCGUCCCUGUUUAUUAAAAAGUUUAAAGAGAGAAGGUGCUAACAAACUCAGAUAUCCUCCCAACAGCCAGUCAAAAGUGGAUUGGGGAAAAUUUUUUCUCUUGAAACGGUUCAACAAAGAAAAACUUGGUCUCCUGUUGCUCACUUUCCUGGGUAUUGUAGCCGCUGUGCUUGUCAAGGCUGAAUAUUACUGAAGAAUGAUCCUGUUCAACCUCCUAGUGCCUCUACUGAAUUAUUCCUCUUUUAAAUGGUUAAUGAACCAAUAAUUUUUAAAUCAUACCAAAAAUAGUAAGAAAAUAUGCAAACAUUCUGUGAUCAAACUUAAAAGUCAUUGCCAUUUAUCAUUAAUAAAAGUUGCCAUUUCAACCA
RNAcentral lists this small RNA (1380 nucleotides) under Pongo abelii (Sumatran orangutan). RNAcentral's name for it is "retained intron". Lineage: Eukaryota; Metazoa; Chordata; Mammalia; Primates; Hominidae. The record is from RNAcentral.